UUGACCUCGGAUCAGGUAGGAAUACCCGCUGAACUUAAGCAUAUCAAUAAGCGGAGGAAAAGAAACCAACAGGGAUUGCCCUA
Molecule: ribosomal RNA, 83 nt
Filed under: Fusarium avenaceum
Lineage: Eukaryota; Fungi; Ascomycota; Sordariomycetes; Hypocreales; Nectriaceae
Also listed under: 1 other name
Description: partial 28S ribosomal RNA
Rfam family: Eukaryotic large subunit ribosomal RNA
Source: RNAcentral